RNAcentral lists this long non-coding RNA (553 nucleotides) under Ananas comosus (pineapple). RNAcentral describes it as "long non-coding RNA (ACOM_LNC026642)". The record is from RNAcentral. Lineage: Eukaryota; Viridiplantae; Streptophyta; Magnoliopsida; Poales; Bromeliaceae.
UAUAUAUAGAGCUAGGCUCCUAUGCUUUCGAAAGUACGGAGGCUUCCGUACUUAUAAAUUGUUUUCGAUGAUGGGACUUCCAAUUCGGUGAUCGGUUCCGUUAAAUAUGAUCUACGCUAUUGGAACUAUCUAGAAACCAAAUUUCAUAAUUUUUUGACUUUGUUUACCUAGUGAACGAGUAGCUUCAAAAUGAACGGCUGAAAAUAAAAAUCUCUUAAAAAACAGCGAUAAAGGACUCAAAUUUCAAAUCGAAAGUAUUGCCCUUGCUCUUGAUGCUAAGUAGAAUUUUUUAUUAAAGUUUCAUAUAAUUUGGAUACUUCUACACCGUUGAACUUAAAAACGUGCCACAUCGGCCGUUCAAAUAGUCAAUUUUGAGACCCUUUGAUCGCUUGGUAAAUGAAGUCGAAAAAUUAUAAAAUUUGGUUUCUAAAUAGUUUCAGUAGCGUAGAUUAUGCCUAACACAGCCGAUCGUCGAAUCGGAUGUCCUAUCAUCGAAAACAACUUACAAGCACGGAGGCCUCCGUACUUUCGAAAGCACGGGAGACAUACUAUA